Molecule: non-coding RNA, 343 nt
Organism: Actinobacteria bacterium 66_15
Lineage: Bacteria; Bacillati; Actinomycetota; Actinomycetes
Source: Rfam
GGAGCGGACCGUGCGGCCGCGCGCCGUGAGGCGUGAGGAAAGUCCGGACUCCGCAGGGCAGGGUGCCUGCUAACGGCAGGGCGCGGCGACGCGACGGAAAGUGCCACAGAAAAGAAGACCCCCGGGGCAUGGCCCCGAGGAGAGCUGAAACGGUGCGGUAAGAGCGCACCAGCGUCACGGCAACGUGGCGGCUUGGCAAACCCCACCCGGAGCAAGGGCGAAUAGGAGCGGUCACGGCUGGCCCGGCCAUCGCUCGGGUACGCCCGCUCGAGGCCGUCGGCGACGACGGUCCCAGAUAGAUGGUCGCACACGACAGGAUCCGGCUUACAGGUCCGCUCCCACA